RNAcentral lists this ribosomal RNA (688 nucleotides) under uncultured bacterium. Its description in RNAcentral is "bacterial SSU rRNA". It matches the Rfam family "Bacterial small subunit ribosomal RNA", at positions 102 to 807 of the family's 1533-position model. The record is from RNAcentral.
ACGGGUGAGUAACGCGUAAGGAACUUGCCUGCGGGACUGGGAUAACAGCAGGAAACUGCUGAUAAUACCGGAUAAGGUCAUUAAGCUGCAUAGCUUAGUGAUGAAAGGAGACACCUGCGGAGAGCCUUGCGUCCUAUUAGCUAGUUGGAGGGGUAACGGCCCACCAAGGCGAAGAUAGGUAGCCGGCCUGAGAGGGUGGACGGCCACAAGGGGACUGAGAUACGGCCCUUACUCCUACGGGAGGCAGCAGUGGGGAAUAUUGGACAAUGGGGGCAACCCUGAUCCAGCAAUUCUGUGUGCACGAAGACGGUUUUCGGAUUGUAAAGUGCUUUCAGCAGGGAAGAAGUAAGUGACGGUACCUGCAGAAGAAGCGACGGCUAAAUACGUGACAGCAGCCGCGGUAAUACGUAUGUCGCGAGCGUUAUCCGGAAUUAUUGGGCAUAAAGGGCAUCUAGGCGGCCUUUCAAGUCAGGGGUGAAAACCUGCGGCUCAACCGCAGGCCUGCCUUUGAAACUGAUAGGCUGGAGUACCGGAGAGGUGGACGGAACUGCACGAGUAGAGGUGAAAUUCGUAGAUAUGUGCAGGAAUGCCGAUGAUGAAGAUAGUUCACUGGACGGUAACUGACGCUGAAGUGCGAAAGCCGGGGGAGCGAACAGGAUUAGAUACCCUGGUAGUCCCGGCCGUAAAC